Molecule: long non-coding RNA, 434 nt
Organism: Nannospalax galili (Upper Galilee mountains blind mole rat)
Lineage: Eukaryota; Metazoa; Chordata; Mammalia; Rodentia; Spalacidae
Exons: 4
Source: RefSeq, a predicted model, not a curated record
UGGGUGCCUCUGGAGAACAAGGCAUCCCUGGACCACCGGGUCCCCAGGGCAUCAGGGGCUACCCAGGCAUGGCAGGACCUAAAGGAGAGACGGGUCCUCGUGGAUAUAAAGGCAUGGUGGGCUCCAUUGGCGUAGCUGGACCACCGGGUGAAGAAGGCCCAAGAGGGCCACCAGGCCGAGCCAGUGAGAAGGGUGACAUGGUAAGUCCUCAGGCACCCCAUGUCCUGUCAGAAUCCCUGUAAGGACUGGAAAGGGCUCAUCUUCACCCAAGGAUGAUGUGUGUACAUGUAUGUGCUUAUGUAUGUGUCUGUCACUCUGUGCAUGGGGAUGACUGCUGGGGUCUGACAGUCUGUGCUGAGAGCCCAGUGGGCAUACAUUCAGACCUUGAUAGUAGCCCUGGGGUCCAGUCCUGUGGCCACUGGGGCCAGACAAUG